RNAcentral lists this transfer RNA (72 nucleotides) under Curvularia lunata CX-3. RNAcentral's name for it is "tRNA-Glu (TTC) (tRNA-Glu-TTC-1-1)". It matches the Rfam family "tRNA". Rfam says of the family: Transfer RNA (tRNA) molecules are approximately 80 nucleotides in length. The record is from RNAcentral. Lineage: Eukaryota; Fungi; Ascomycota; Dothideomycetes; Pleosporales; Pleosporaceae.
UCCGGUAUGGUGUAUCGGCUAGCAUCCGUCGCUUUCACCGACGAGAGCCGGGUUCGACUCCCGGUACCGGAA